RNAcentral lists this ribosomal RNA (459 nucleotides) under uncultured bacterium. RNAcentral describes it as "bacterial SSU rRNA". It matches the Rfam family "Bacterial small subunit ribosomal RNA", at positions 28 to 507 of the family's 1533-position model. The record is from RNAcentral.
GAUUAACGCUGGCGGCGUGCAUAACACAUUCAAGUCGAACGGAAUACGGACUUCGGUCUGUGUUUAGUGGCGGACGGGUGAGUAACGCGUGAGUAAUCUGCCUCUGUGUGCGGGAUAACAGCCGGAAACAGCUGCUAAUACCGCAUAACGUAUCGGGACUGCAUGGUCCUGAUACCAAAGGCUUGCUGCACAGAGAUGAACUUGCGUCUGAUUAGAUAGUUGGUGAGGUAACGGCUCACCAAGUCGACGAUCAGUAGCCGAACUGAGAGGUUGAUCGGCCACAUUGGGACUGAGACACGGCCCAGACUCCUACGGGAGGCAGCAGUGGGGGAUAUUGCGCAAUGGGGGCAACCCUGACGCAGCAACGCCGCGUGAAGGAAGAAGGUUUUCGGAUCGUAAACUUCUUUAAGUGGGGAAGAUAAUGACGGUACCACAGAAUAAGCCACGGCUAACUACGUG